AGGAGUGAGUGCCAUUGCUAUUACAAAGGAAAACGUUUGAGGCAAACACAGGUUCUUGAAGUGGAUAAGUCACCUCAACCAGAUGGACUACAUCCCAGAGUCCUGAGAGAGGUUGCUGGAGAGAUAACAGAUGCAUUGGUCAUGACACGUCAAGAAUCACUUGAUUCUGGCAUGGUCCCAGAGGACAGGAAGAUUGCAAAUGUCAAUCCACUCUUUGGGAAGGGAGGAAGGCAAAGUAAAGCAAAUUAUAGUCCAGUUAGCCUAACCUCAGUGGCUGGGAAAGUGUGGAGUCAUGAUAACAGUUGAGGUUUUGGUGUACUAGGAGACUAAUGAUAUAAUGUCAAAGCCAGCAUAAGUUCUAUACAGGGAAAUCUUGCCUGACAAGUCUGUUACAGAUCUUCGAGGAAGCCAUAAGCAGGAUGGACAAACGAGAGGCAGUGGAUAUCAUUUACUUGGACUUUCAGAAAGCUUCCGAUAAGGUGUCACACAUGAAACUGCUUAACAGGAUAAAUGUCAGAAGUAAUACUGGCAUGGACAGAGGAAUGGCUGACAGCCAAGAGGCAGCGAGUGGGAAUAAAAGGGGCCUUUUCUGGUUGGCCAGCAGUGAUUAGUUGUCUUCAGGGGUCAGUAUUCGGACCGCUACUUUUCACAUUGUUUGUCAAUGACUUGGAUAAUGGAACUGAUGGCUUUGUGACAAGGUUUGCGGAUGAUACAAAGAUAGGUGGAGGCGAUGGUGGUGCUGAGGGAGCAAUACGUUUGCAGCAGGACACAAGUUUGAAGAACGGGCAAAUGGAAUACAAAACUGGGAAAUGUACAACAAAGCAUUUUGGCAAAAGGAACAAUGGUGAACUAUCAUCUGAUUGGGGAGAAGGUUCAAACCACAGAUGUACAGAAGGAAAUGUGAUGAUGAUGAUGAUGAUGAUGAUGACGUCGUCGACUCAGGACUGACUCAGGGCAGCGUCGGGCAUUUUCGUGCCUUACAAGGCGCGGAUCGGAAGGUUGUGUGGGGCGCUACUCCUCACACAGACAUUUCACAGUAUCUUUCUUUAUUUGAUGAGGUCGAAUUGCGAGCUCAACACUCAAUCCGGCACGAAUGGAAAGCGUACAAGGGAGCGACUGUAUUCGAACCCAGGGACCUCCGUUACGGAGUCCGGCGCUGACGUCACUACGCCACCAGGACCUUGGGCAAGACUCCCAGAAGAUUAGUUUACGGGUUGAGUCUAUGGUAACGAAGGCAACUGCAAUGCUGGCUUUAUUUAAAGUGAAGUAGAAUAUACUAGCAAGGAGAUAAUGCUGUUACUUUAUAAGAGACUACUCAGGCCACACGUCAGAACAUAAGAAAUGGGAGCAGGAGUCGGCCAUUGGCCCAUUGAGCCUGCCCCGCCAUUCAAUAAAAUCAUGGCUGAACUCAGCUCCAUCUACCAGCCUUUUCCCUAUAACCAUUAAUUACCUUAUUCUGCAAAAACCUAUCUAACUGUAUCUUAAAUAUACUUCGUGAGGAAACCUCAACUGCUUCCCUGGACAGAGAAUUCCACAGAUUCAGCACUCUCUGGGAAAAACAGUUUCUCCUCAUCUCCGCCCUAACUCUUCUCUCCUGAAUCUUGAGGCAAUGUCCCCAAGUUCUAGUCUCAUCUACCAAUGGAAACAACUUUCCUACUUCUAUCUUAUCUAUCCCUUUCAAAAUUCUGGGUAUUUCUAUAAGAUUCCCUCUCAUUCUUCUGAACCCCAGAGAGAAAAGUCCCAGGCGACUCAAUCUCUCCUCAUAGGUUAACCCCCUCAUCCCUGGAAUCAAACUGGUUCACCUUCUCUGCAUUGCCUCCAAAGCCAGUACUGUCUAUCCUUCCUCGUGUACGGAGACCAGAACUGCACACAGUACUCCAGGUGCGGCCUCACCGGUACUCUGUAUAGUGGCAGCAUUACCUCCCUGCUCUUGAAUUCAAUCCCUCUACCAAUGAAGGGUAAUAUUCUGUUAGAGUUAGAGUAUGUGGGACUUCUAUCUUAGAAAAUGUGCGUUGUCAUUGGAGAGAGUCCAGAGGAUCUUCAAGAAGAUGAUUCCGGGAAUGAAGGGGUUAAGUAUGAGAAGCGUUUGCCAGCUUUGGGCCUGUACUCCUGCACUGACUUAUGUUUAGUAAAUGUGGGUGGAGGGUGUUCAGAAGCUGCAGAAGGCUGUAAAUCUCGUCACCUCCAUCUUGGGUACGAGACUACAAAGCAUCCAGGACAUCUUUAGGAAGCGGUAUCACAGAAAGGCAGCGUCCAUUAUAAAGGACCUUCAGCACCCAGGACAUGCCCUUUCCUCACUGUUACCAUCAGGUAGGAGAUACAGAAGCCUGAAGGCGCACACUCAGUGAUUCAGGAAAAGCUUCUUCCCCUCUGCCAUCCGAUUCCUGAAUGGACUUUGAAAGCUUUGGACACUCUUCAAUAUACAGUAUUUCUGUUUUUACACAUUUUAAUAAACUAUUCAUCACACAUAAUUGAUUUACUUGUUGAUUACUGUUUUAAUUAGUUUAUUAUUAUCUAUGCCAGAAUAUGAAUUGCAUUGAACUGCUGUUUGAUUAUUGUUUUAAUUCAUUUAUUAUUAUCUAUGCCAGAAUAUGAAUUGCAUUGAACUGCUGCUGCUGUCAACAAAUUUCAAGCCAAAUGCCUGUUGUAAUAAACCUCAUCCUGAAUCCUGAAUCUCACUGAAACCCACCGAAUGUGGAAAAGUCCAGAUAGGGUGUAUGAGGAGAGGCCUUUUCCUAUGGUGGGGGUAGCCAUAACAGAGGGCACAGCCUGAAAGCGGAGGAGCAACCUUUUAGAGCAGUUAAGGAGGAUUUUAUUUAGUCAGACAGCAGUGAAUCUGUGGAAUUCUCUGACACAGAUGGCGGUGGGGGCCAACUCUGUGUGUACAUUUCAGGCAAAAGCUAAUAGUUUAUGGAUCAGUCGAGGCAUUACAGGAUAUGCCGAGGAGACAGGUGCAUGGGGUUGAGUGAGAACCGGGAUCAGCCAUGAUAGAACGGCGGAGCAGACUCAAUGGGUCUGACUGGCCUAAUUCUGCUCCUAUGUCUGAUAGUCUUAUAAUGCGAGUGUCUUACACAGUGAAGAUUGACACAAAAUACUUAUUACAUUCGGCCGCGAUUUCUUUGCCCUAUUACUAACACGCCAUCAUCAUCUUCCAGUGGUACAAUAUCAACUCUUCCCUCUCUUUUACCCUUUAUAUAUCUAAACAACUUUUGAUACCUGAUAUUAUUGGCUCAAUUACCGUAAUUUUUCAUCAUGUCUCUCCUGUGUGUGUGUGUGUGUGUUUUUGUUGUCUCCUGUUGGGUAUGUAAAAGAUUUCCAAUCCUCUCACUUCCCACUGUUUUCUUGCCAUAUUACGUGACCCCGCUUUUGCUUUUAUCAAAAACAGGAGAAAAUCUGUGGGUGCUGGGAAUCCAAGCAACACAGACACAAAAUGCUGGAGGAACCUGGGAGGCCAGGCAGCAUAUAUGGGAAAUAGCAAACAGUCGACGUUUCGGGCCGAGACCCUUCAUCAGGACUGGGAACAAAGAAGAUGAGACAUCAGAGGAAGCAGUGUGGGGGUGAAGGGGUGGAAGGCGUGGUAGGUGAUGGGUGACACUGGGAGACGGGGAGCAGUGAAGGAAAAAUCUUCUUUGGAUUUUAUUUCCUUAACGAUUCUCCAAAGAUCAUUGCUAAUGCCUCCACAUCACUUCAGCCACCUCUUUCAGAUCUCAGGGGUGUACACCAUCUGGUCCAGGUGACCUAUUUACCUUCAGACCAUCUCUGUAUCCCAAAGAACCUUCUCCCGUGUAACGUAACUUUACACAUUCUGACCACUGACAUCUGGGACUUCCAUAUUCCUGCCAGUGUCUUCGAGAGAUAAGAGUGAUGUACAAGAUUUAUUCAGUUCAUCUGCCAUCACCUUGCAGCCCCACCCCGUUUCUACCUCUCCAGCAUCAUUUUUCAGUGGUCCGAUAUCCACUUCAGCCUCUCUCUUACAAUAUAUGUACCUGAAGAAAAAUUUGGUAUCCUCUUUAAUAUUGCGGGUAGCUCAUCUAUGUAUUCCAUCUUUGCUGCCUGACAAUGACGGAAAACGUAGUUUACUUUAUUCAAUGUAGUCUUGUUUUUUUUAGUAUGUUUCAAUUGCGCUUAAGCCCAAAGUGCAUAGAGAUAUGUAGGUAAUACAUGAUACUUAUGGGGUAUUAGCCUUCAUAAGUGGAGGAAUAGAGUUGAAGUGUCGCGAGGUAAUGAUGCAGCUCUAUAAAACUCCAGUUCGGCCACACUUCGAGUACUGUGUCCAGUUCUGGUCGCCUCACUAUAGGAAGGAUGUGGAAGCAUUGGAAUGGGUACAGAGGAGAUUUACCAGGUUGCUGCCUGGUUUAAGGAGUAUGGAUUAUGAUCAGAGAUUAAGGGAGCUUGGGCUUUACUCUUUGAAAGAAGGAGGAUGAGAGGAGACAUGAUAGAGAAGUACAAGAUAUUAAGAGGAAUAGACAGAGUGGGCAGCCAGCGCCUCUACCCCAGGGCACCACUGCUCAGUACAAGAGGACAUGGCAAGGGGAGGGAAGUUCAAGGGGGAUAUUAGAGGAAGGUUUUUCACUCAGAGAGUGGUUGGUGCGUGGAAUGCACUGCCCGAGUCAGUGGUGGAGGCAGAUACACUAGUGAAAUUUAAGAGACUACUAGACAGGUAUAUGGAGGAAUUUGUGGGAGGCUAUAUGGGAGGCAGGGUUUGAGGGUCACCACAACAUUGUGGGCCGAAGGGCCUGUAAUGUGAUGUACUAUUCUAUGUUUUAUAAUCAAUACAUUAUUUCAGAUAGGACAAUCCGUACGAACCAUUCGAAUAUAAUAUUACAGGAUUAAUAAGCAGGAACAACUCCUCCAAUAGAUAAAACCAUUCCAAACACAUACAUUCCUCAACCAGUGGAGCACCUUACCACAGGCAUUGUUUGUGUCAUCAGUCAGACAACCGAAAGAUUUUCUCUAUCAAUCAGCUUCCAAAUGUUGCUACUCUGUCAUUCGUUGACACGCUCCGCUGCUGAUUCCCUUCUCCUUAUCAUACGUUCUUACCCCGACCGUCGUCCAGAGCCCCAAACUCUGCCUUGUGCAGACCCGCCUCUGGUUUCUGACCCUGCUCCGUUGAACAUCCAAACAAUGGUUUCGCAUUCUGCUUUCAGUCUUUAGAGGACAGUGUGUUUUCAACAACACUUUAGUAGCAGUGGAAAUGACCCAUAAUGUGGAAAUGAGCCAUGAAUAAGGAGGUUAACUCCCAAAUUCAUUCUUCCUCAGCUCAGAGAUUUCAGGGGUAAAGAACAUCUCAGACAGAACUGCAGUCAGCUCAAUUUCUUCAGUCUGCAGAAAAUUCAGGGAAACCUCUUCACCCACAGGAUGGUGACUGUUUGGAACCCAUCACCACAGGGAGAGCAAGAGGUGAACAACAGGGGAGGACUUAAAAGGACUGUCCUGGAACAGAAUCACAGGCAGGGUCCAGCCGGCAUGAGUUGACCCUCCACUGUGCACAAGGAUCCCAAUGCAGGGAGUGCCAAGCAGACGGGCUGAGUAAGCGGCUGGACCACUCUGGGGACUGCAGAGACUGACCGGGUGCCCAAUAGGUUAAAAAAGGUCCAUUUCAUGAAAUAUAAACCAAGAAAUAAAAAGAAACCAGAAUUACCAGAAACACUCAGCAGGUAAGGAACAGCUUACAAUACAAUUCAAUUAAUAACAUUUCAUCAGAUUGAGUUCAAACAUUUUCAGUUUUUAGUGCAGAUCUCCAGCACAGCUGCCUGAUUUCCACUGUGCACGAGCACUCCCAGUACACUUUGCUGCCAGUAAAAUGCUGCAGUGUGUCAGCCCGUCACUGUUCAUAAACUAGCACCUCCACAGCAAUGCACAACAGAACUAGGACCUGAUGACUCUCCGACAUUCCAAACAACAAUAACCGAUUCUGGAAAUGACUCAGCGAGGCCAAAGGUACAAAAGAACACUUCACAAUGAAGACAAGGUUUAGAAGAAAGUUUGCUGAUAUAUAACAUUGAGGAGGUGGGAUACAAGGCGGACUGAGGCUGACCCAGAUGGUUGAUGUAUAUCACUGAAACGGUGGGGGGGGGGGGGGGUAUGAGGAGACUGGACAGAGGUUGAACAAGAUGAACAGAUGGAACCAGGUGGGAGAAGGGAUCAAGGACGAUCACUGAUGGUCCUCCAGCAACACAUAGGUACUGAAUGAAUAGUACAUACUAUCGUACAAAAGAUUCUAAAAUGACAGAAUUAGCUAAAAUAACAAGAGCUUUGCCGGAUAUAUUUUGACCCUCACCAGAUUUUUGUCAACCCACCAUAGGAAGUUUCCCAUCCGGACACUUCACGCUUUGAAUGGUAACUACUCUGCCCAUGACUGCGAGGAACUGGUAAGACCUUUGGAUCCAGAUCAGCACAUCACAGAAACCAUUCUCCCCCCUAGACUUGCCAGUCCCUUGGUAAAGCAGGCAGUGAAAUCAAAGAUCCCCACAACCUGGGUCAUUCUCCUUCCUCACCCACCCCAAUCCGGGAGGAGACACAACAGGCAUAAAGCUCCAGGACAAAUGUGAGGAGCCUCAGGAAGCGCGGCGAGUUCGGGGGAAGUUAACGGGACUCAGUGACCAAAAUCAGAUUUCCCAACACAACAUGGAGGAUGCGUGACCACCCAUCUGGAGAUUGUAAACACGCACAAAGAGAUCGUUACUUCUGCGGUUAAAUGGGAGGGGCAAAUGAGAUCAUGUGACCGGUGAGGUCGAACACCCCAGGCAUAGUCUCCAGCUUCCCAGCACUCUGUGGAAAUAAACAAACUUGCCCCUCACAUCUCCUCUCACCUUAAAUGUGUCAGACAUUUCAAACCCCAGGUAAAACAUAACGUCUGUAUCUACUCCUCUCAUAAUCUUGUAAACUUCCAUCCAGUCUCACCCCAGCCUGGCUGUUCUGGAGAAAACAACACAAGUUUGUCCUGCCUCUUGUUAAAGCUCAUGCCCUCUAAUCCAGGCAGUUUCCUGGUACACCUCUUCUGCGCCCUCUCCAAAGCCCCGACAUCAUUCCGAGAAUGGGGGCGACCAGAACUGUAUGAAACACUCCAGAUGUGGUCUAACUAGUUUUACAAAGCUGCAACACAACUUCAUGAGUUUUGAACUCAGGGCUUCAACUAAUAAAGACAACCAUGCCAUUUGCCUUCUUGACCAUCUGAUCAAUCUGUGCAGUCUCUCUCAGGAAGCGAUGAACUUGGAGUCUAAGAUCUUUCUGAUCAUCAACACUGUCCAGGGUUUUGCAUUUAACACUGUACUGUCUCAUACAUUCAGGGCUGCAGUGCUACCAGAGCGGAGUGCCACUCCAGCACCUCUGUAAAAAACAGUCAAAAUAAACAAGCCGGAAAUUUAACAACGGCCGCAUAUUAAAUAGAGGGAAUCUUACAGAAGCGGGGGUUGGGAAGAGGGGGUGUUGGCUGAUGGGGAAAAAUACCACUAAUAACUUUAGGAUAUUUGAUCAUUUUUGGUGAAUUUUUUUAUUUAGGUAUUUGUGAAAUUCCUUCUCGCUCGACCUGUUGUCCUAGGAAGCUGGGAAAUACCUGUACACAAAUGCGAGCAUUUUUCUGCUUUUUCAAAUGGGUACCAUUGGAUUCCUUGAAGAAGCAGGAUUAGGCAAGGAAUGAUCAUGGAAAUCCAAGUUUAAUAGUUGAAAACAAUGAAAGAAAAAUUCACUGCUCGCUUAUCUUUGUCCUGAUUUUGAGCAAAUACACAAGCUAAUCAUCCAAAAUCCUCUUCUACACCUAGAUAAAUUAAAUCUUGUUUUACAAGCCAAAUGGAAUAAAAGACAUUCCUAGGCUUUAAGCUAGUUUUACGUCAUUUCAGCUAUCAUUAAUAGUGGAUCAACUCCUUGGCCUCGCUCCACCAACUGUAGUUGAUUGAAAAGAGGCUCUUUUUCUCUUUGUGUUGACAGGAAAAAGAGUAAUUUAGUGAGGCAAUGAACGAGAUGAAAUGCAUUCCCAAGACUCCCAAAUGGUUGCUCUCCUCCCCGUUAACAUUUAUCACUUCCAAAAUACAAUAUUUUCUAUUCGUAUAGAUUCGAUAAUAAUGUAUGUAAAGAUUCAAGCCUCUUCAAUUUUUUAUAUAUUUAAAGACCAAACAGGAUCUGUAAAGGUUUAACCAUGUAACACCCGACCUGUGAGGAUAUUGUGAGUAUCAACACUCACAGGUACACUUCCCAUCCAAUCAUUUCUGCGAGAGAAAUGGUACGAGGCAGUUGC
Hypanus sabinus (Atlantic stingray) is the source of this 8233-nucleotide long non-coding RNA. RefSeq lists it as uncharacterized. The record is from RefSeq and is a predicted model, not a curated record. The transcript has 3 exons. NCBI's taxonomy places the organism in Eukaryota, Metazoa, Chordata, Chondrichthyes, Myliobatiformes, Dasyatidae.